Molecule: non-coding RNA, 453 nt
Organism: Arachis ipaensis
Lineage: Eukaryota; Viridiplantae; Streptophyta; Magnoliopsida; Fabales; Fabaceae
Source: RefSeq, a predicted model, not a curated record
AUUCCAUUUUGUCUUUGUUAGUAAGUGUAGCCUUAAUACAAUAUCAUACUAUUGCAGGCAGUGGAUAGUGGUCUCCUGUUAAAGCUUUCUUUCAGCACUAUAUUUGAGUAUCUUCAGAUGCUGCAAAUAAUUUCAAAGCCAAUGAAGGAUAUUGGCCCACGUGCAAUGUUCUAUCUUAUCUAACUUUUAUGUUCCUCAGAAGGAGAUGGUAUAAAAUUGUAAUGUUGGUUCUUCUUUCCAUGAAAGUUUCAUCCCUUGUUAACUUCAAUUUUGGCUUGAAUGAUUUUGUAAUAUGUUAAGAUACAAGAAUAUUAACCAUGUCGAUUUCAACAUCUGUGCUAGAGUUAGUUAUUAUUUAGAGAAUUAGCAUACAGAUAACACUGCAUAACUUAAUUAGUCCUGCUUAGAUUGUGAAAACUGAAAAGUAUAAGCAGAAAGACAUUUAUUGUAUUU